CCUACGGGAGGCAGCAGUGGGGAAUAUUGCGCAAUGGGCGAAAGCCUGACGCAGCGACGCCGCGUGAGGGAUGAAGGUCUUCGGAUCGUAAACCUCUGUCAGCAGGGAAGAACGGUCACUGUGCUAAUCAGUAGUGAAUUGACGGUACCUGCAAAGGAAGCACCGGCUAACUCCGUGCCAGCAGCCGCGGUAAUACGGAGGGUGCGAGCGUUAAUCGGAAUUACUGGGCGUAAAGCGCUCGUAGGCGGUAUGGCAAGUCAAGGGUGAAAUCCCCGCGCUCAACGUGGGAACUGCCUUGGAAACUGGCGAACGGGAGGUUGAGGGAGGAUGGUGGAAUUCCAGGUGCAGGAGGGAAAUCCGUAGAUAUCUGGGGGAA
This 376-nucleotide ribosomal RNA is filed under the name uncultured bacterium. RNAcentral's name for it is "partial 16S ribosomal RNA". It matches the Rfam family "Bacterial small subunit ribosomal RNA", at positions 338 to 706 of the family's 1533-position model. The record is from RNAcentral.